CCUGGAGCGAUACAUGGUAGUUAGUUGCUAACGUGUCAGAGUGCAGCAGUUUCGGGGUGCUGUUUGUAGCGCAAGGUAUGUCCAAACAAUCAGUGUUGUAUGACGAAUUAUUAUUAUUAGGGUUCAGUUUACUGAGCGAGAUCUUAGCGUUUUGAUGGGUUAAGGGGCUGAGUGUUUGCCAACGGCGCUAUUGUUUGUGUGGGUGCACACUUCCGAAACGACACGUUUGGAAUGCCUAGCCUGACGAGCACAGAUGAGUGCUCCGUGACCCUGGGGAGAUUGUGAAGUGCAGGAACACUGUCUGCUCACCCAAUCGCUAGAUUGUAGGCAGGUUCAGAUGCUUCAAUCUUCUUCUGCUGCUGGUUUGUCUGGUUUAUCACAGCGGAAACACCUCUAAACCUGUGUCAGGAGAAAAGAGAGGAAACGUCAUCUUGCCAUGUCAAUAUGAGGACAGUAAUAUUGGUCACAUUGAUUUAUUCAGUGAGGUAGAAAAAAUAGAUGUGUGUGAGACUGAAGAAUGUAGUGGACGAGUGUUUAAAGAAGGAAACUGUGACGUCGUCAUCAAGAAUCUGAUCUUCAGUGACGCUGGGAAAUACACUUUGAGAAUCUAUUACAAUAAUGAUCAAACAGAGCUGAAGUACCAACUUCAUAUUCAUGAUGAGAUUUCUGUGAAAACAGGCGAGGAGCUAAAGAUGUCUGUUCUGGUGUCUGAUGCUGAUAAAGUGAAGACAAACUCUAGUGGAGAGUGGAAGGAGGUUUGGACGAGAGAUCACGGGGUUCAGAGCGACCGAAUGAAUGAUGAUGAUGAUGGAAACCUGAUCAUUAAAUCAUUUCUGGACAGUGAUGCAGGAACAUACAGAGUUCUGGACACUGAAGGAGAAACCUUGAUCACAGUCACAGUCACAGAAUCACCGGAAAAACUGGACGACACUGAGCAACAACGGAACUGGAUUGUGUCAGUUGUCGUGUGUUUGGUGAUUCUGGCUGUUAUUGUGAUUGUGAUUUCUGUCUUCAUAUGGAGACGUCAGCACAGAGAUCACACACAGGUUCAGGAGAAUACAGAGAACACACAGGAACUGGAGAAACUAUAGACCCCUUUUGCGCGGACGUCAGAGGGCACAUUUCAACGUUUAAUGGAGUGUAUGUUCGGAGGCCAGCGGUAUCAUUCUGUGUUGCUUUAUCUGGAUGAUGUAAUCUGUUAGUCAACAUCUGGAGAGGUUGGAAAAGGUGUUCUCCCGACUCCAACAACAAGAGUUAGAAGUUAAGUUAUCCAAGUGUCAUUUUUUUUCUUUCAAAAACAGGUCAAGUACUUGGGACAUGUGGUGUCUGCUGAGGGAUUGGCUACUGAUCCUGGUAAGUUGGAGGCUGUACGGGAGUGGAUGCGUCUGGUGCAUUUAGCAGAAUUAAGAAUUAAGAUCGUUUCUUGGGUUUGAAGGGUACUACCAUCAUUUUGUUUAGGGUUUUGUUUCACUGGCUGCCCCUUUGCAUCAAUUGGUGAGUAGGCUGAGUGGACCUAAAAGGAAGGGUAAGAUGCCUCAGGUCCCAUUAGGAUCAGUAUGGAAUGAGACCUGUGAGCAUGCCUUUGAGUCCAUUAAACAUCGUUUGAUUAUGGCUCCAGUCUUGGCCUAUGCGGAGUUCACCAAGCAUUUUGUAUUGGUAGAUACCAGUCACAGAGGGCUGGGAGCCGUACUUUCUCAGGAGCAUGAUGUUAAACUCAGAAAGAGAGUGGAGCAGUGGUGUCAACAAUGUGAAAGAUGUAUUUUAAGUAAGGCAGUUCAACCAAAGAUUCGGUCUUUUCAGGGUACAAUUCAACCCUCCCUCCCUCAUGAGAUCCUGGCUAUAGAUUUCACAAUUUUAGAGCCAGCCAGUGACUGCCAUGAAAAUAUUCUUGUUUUUACAGAUGUUUUUUCAAAGUAUUAUUCAGGCUGUGGCUACUAGAGCCCAAAGAGCUAGUACAGUGGCCCAGAUGUUGGUACAACAUUGGUCCCAUCGUUUCAGACCUCCAAGUCGAAUUCAUUCUGAUGAAGGGAGAAAGUUUUAGAGUAUGGUGGUUCAGCAGUUAUGUAAAAUCUAUGGGGUAAAAAAAAAAGUAGAACCACUCCCUACAACCCCCAGGGAAACUAUUUAAUCGUACCCUGCAUGACCUUUUGAGAACGUUGCUACAAGAACAAAAAAAGUAUUGGCCUCGACAUCUCUCACAAGUUACUUAUGCUUAUAAUUCCACUGCCCAUCAUGUUGCCUUUAUGACUCCUUAUUAUUUGAUGUUUGGGUGUGAUCCCAGACUCGCAGUGGAUUUUUUUUGUUGGGAAGGAGCGAAGAGGUUAGUUUUAGUCCCACAGAGGAUUGGGUGCAGGACCAUCAAGAAAGUUUGAGAGUAGCCCAUGAUGAUGUGAAGCAGCAAGUGCAGGCUAAAGUAGAGAAGCGGAACCAAUGAUAUAAUGAGAAAGUAAAUGAUACAGGUUCAGAAGAGGGGCAGCUUGUGCACUUGAGGAAUCAUGUAAAGGGGAGAAACAAAAUUCAGGAUUUUUGGGAUCCUGGCCUUUAUAGGGUCAUUCGAGGUCCCUCUGGGCAGUCUACGCAGUGACGCCGGUAUCUGGAGACGUUCCAGUCAGAACCGUACAUCGGGAUGAGUUAAGGAAGGCUAUAGGUAGACCAAGUAUUGAAAUGCCUGACUCUCCAAUGGUAUUGGAUCCGGAGGGCUCCGUCUCUGGCUCGUCGUUUGAAUAGGAGACUGCUGGGGAGUCUUGGGUGUUUCUCUUUGAGGGUAGUUUAGACCAUCUUGUCCAGUCAGAUGAGUUGAUGCCUUCUCCUCCUGGCUCUAAUGAGGCCAGGGAAUGUUGGUAGGUAGGGGCAUUGCAAAGUUCUGUUCCUCUGCGAUGGUCUGCUAAGGUUUCGGCUGGCCAUCAUUCCAACCCUAACAGAUUGCCAUGUCCUCUGGUUGUAGGGCAGCCAAAUAUUGGUGAAGAACAGUAGGAUUUCGUUUUUUUGUCCUUGGGGCAAAGACCAAAAUUGUAGGGGGAAGACUGUAGCAAGGUAAGCAGGAGAAGGGGAGGGGUGAUUGGGGAGCAACCACCAAUCCCAUUGCAGAUUGCUGAUAGGGUUGCCAAAUUUAAAGGACAGGCAAUAUGGAAAGGCAGCCAAGGUCCUUGUAGCACCAGUUAUCCAUUUGGCUAGUAGCCGUGUGAGGCUGGGUGUCCUGUGGUGUAGCUCUUUCUCUCAAUUGAAGGUAAGCCUGUAUUUUGUGGUGUACUAUUACAAGGGAUGUUUUUAUUGUACUGAUGCAGUUACCAGCACCAGUAUAGAUUUAAUUAUUGUUUUUAAUUGAGGGUAUUUGAAUCCAUUAAUGCAUCAUGGGAGUAUAAGUUUGUAAUGAUAGUUAUAUGGUUAUUGUAUUACAUUUUAGAACUGUUUGCCUCUGGUUUGUAGUGAAGGGUGUAUGGGGGUUUGCUGAGGUUUUCCCAGAAUUCAGUGAAGUGUUUCCUGUAUAGGUAGUUCAGGUUUCUUGGUAUUCCUAGUUGGACAAUUUAAGAAACUGUACCCCCUGUCAGCUGAAUCAGUUCAUGUCCUGAAUAAUUUUAUGGUAUUGUUUAAUAAAGAACUACAACUUUAUUUCUACGACUUACUGUCUUUGGUGAUAGAUCUGAUAGAUUUUUUUUUUUUCUGUUUUAUUUGGCCCUUGAGGGUGUUACAUAUGAUUGAAGGCCCUAUGAUAUCCGUGAUACAGAAAAUGCGGACGGGAUCAGCUGUGAUUUCAGCGUCUGCUGUUUCACUCAAUGAGGAUGAAAACACAUGAACAACAUCUCCAGAACUGUUCUAAGAGUCACUUCAUGAGCAUUUGACCGUUUGAUUUGAG
RNA transcript from Carassius auratus (goldfish), 3853 nucleotides. RefSeq lists it as uncharacterized. NCBI's taxonomy places the organism in Eukaryota, Metazoa, Chordata, Actinopteri, Cypriniformes, Cyprinidae. The record is from RefSeq and is a predicted model, not a curated record. The transcript is spliced from 7 exons.